RNAcentral lists this unclassified non-coding RNA (369 nucleotides) under fungal sp. RNAcentral describes it as "partial internal transcribed spacer region". The stretch from base 1 to 46 matches the Rfam family "Eukaryotic small subunit ribosomal RNA", at positions 1786 to 1831 of the family's 1831-position model. The record is from RNAcentral. Lineage: Eukaryota; Fungi.
AAGUCGUAACAAGGUUUCCGUAGGUGAACCUGCGGAAGGAUCAUUAACACGUAUCCAACGUUAAACAACCCCGUGAACCUUCAGCCUGCUCUCGUAGCCCACGCGGCAACAGCAAUCCCGGUAAAUCAUUGACGACCAGUUUUGAUUCGGGACCUCUGUUACGAUGUGAGAAGUUACAGUUACGAUCGAGCGGUAGCUGGCUGCGCAAGGAUAACGCCUCACGGUUGCUAGAGGUCGAUCACCGACCGGCAGACAUGUCACAGGGUCCCCAUGCCCCUUACCUCACCCCAUUACUAAUGACUAGCUUAGCGGUAACGCGCUGAGUAAAAAAAAACCGAACAACUGUUAACAAUGGAUAUCUUGGUUCUC